Molecule: ribosomal RNA, 412 nt
Filed under: Aeromonas veronii
Lineage: Bacteria; Pseudomonadati; Pseudomonadota; Gammaproteobacteria; Aeromonadales; Aeromonadaceae
Description: bacterial SSU rRNA
Rfam family: Bacterial small subunit ribosomal RNA
Source: RNAcentral
AGCUUGCUACUUUUGCCGGCGAGCGGCGGACGGGUGAGUAAUGCCUGGGGAUCUGCCCAGUCGAGGGGGAUAACUACUGGAAACGGUAGCUAAUACCGCAUACGCCCUACGGGGGAAAGCAGGGGACCUUCGGGCCUUGCGCGAUUGGAUGAACCCAGGUGGGAUUAGCUAGUUGGUGAGGUAAUGGCUCACCAAGGCGACGAUCCCUAGCUGGUCUGAGAGGAUGAUCAGCCACACUGGAACUGAGACACGGUCCAGACUCCUACGGGAGGCAGCAGUGGGGAAUAUUGCACAAUGGGGGAAACCCUGAUGCAGCCAUGCCGCGUGUGUGAAGAAGGCCUUCGGGUUGUAAAGCACUUUCAGCGAGGAGGAAAGGUUGGUAGCUAAUAACUGCCAGCUGUGACGUUACUCG